CAGGAUGAACGCUGGCGGCGUGCCUAACACAUGCAAGUUGAGCGAUUUACUUCGGUAAAGAGCGGCGGACGGGUGAGUAACGCGUGGGUAACCUACCCUGUACACACGGAUAACAUACCGAAAGGUAUGCUAAUACGGGAUAAUAUAUUUGAGAGGCAUCUCUUGAAUAUCAAAGGUGAGCCAGUACAGGAUGGACCCGCGUCUGAUUAGCUAGUUGGUAAGGUAACGGCUUACCAAGGCGACGAUCAGUAGCCGACCUGAGAGGGUGAUCGGCCACAUUGGAACUGAGACACGGUCCAAACUCCUACGGGAGGCAGCAGUGGGGAAUAUUGCACAAUGGGCGAAAGCCUGAUGCAGCAACGCCGCGUGAGUGAUGAAGGCCUUCGGGUCGUAAAACUCUGUCCUCAAGGAAGAUAAUGACGGUACUUGAGGAGGAAGCCCCGGCUAACUACGUGCCAGCAGCCGCGGUAAUACGUAGGGGGCUAGCGUUAUCCGGAUUUACUGGGCGUAA
Molecule: ribosomal RNA, 511 nt
Filed under: uncultured bacterium
Lineage: Bacteria
Description: bacterial SSU rRNA
Rfam family: Bacterial small subunit ribosomal RNA
Source: RNAcentral